Molecule: ribosomal RNA, 435 nt
Filed under: uncultured bacterium
Lineage: Bacteria
Description: partial 16S ribosomal RNA
Rfam family: Bacterial small subunit ribosomal RNA
Source: RNAcentral
AGCGAACGCUGGCGGCAGGCUUAACACAUGCAAGUCGAGCGGGCACUUUCGGGUGUCAGCGGCGGACGGGUGAGUAACGCGUGGGAACGUGCCCUCUGGUUCGGAAUAACUCAGGGAAACUUGAGCUAAUACCGGAUACGCCCUUUUGGGGAAAGGCUUGCUGCCGGAGGAUCGGCCCGCGUCUGAUUAGCUAGUUGGUGAGGUAACGGCUCACCAAGGCGACGAUCAGUAGCUGGUCUGAGAGGAUGAUCAGCCACACUGGGACUGAGACACGGCCCAGACUCCUACGGGAGGCAGCAGUGGGGAAUAUUGGACAAUGGGCGCAAGCCUGAUCCAGCUAUGCCGCGUGAGUGAUGAAGGCCUUAGGGUUGUAAAGCUCUUUUAUCCGGGACGAUAAUGACGGUACCGGAGGAAUAAGCCCCGGCUAACUUCGUG